This 497-nucleotide ribosomal RNA is filed under the name uncultured bacterium. RNAcentral describes it as "partial 16S ribosomal RNA". It matches the Rfam family "Bacterial small subunit ribosomal RNA", at positions 28 to 507 of the family's 1533-position model. The record is from RNAcentral.
GAUGAACGCUGGCGGCGUGCCUAAUACAUGCAAGUCGAGCGAACGGACGAGAAGCUCGCUUCUCUGAUGUUAGCGGCGGACGGGUGAGUAACACGUGGAUAACCUACCUAUAAGACUGGGAUAACUUCGGGAAACCGGAGCUAAUACCAGAGAAUAUUUUGAACCGCAUGGAUCAAAAGUGAAUGACGGUCUUGCUGUCUCUUAUAGAUGGAUCCGUGCUGCAUUAGCUAGUUGGUAAGGUAACGGCUUACCAAGGCAACGAUGCGUAGCCGACCUGAGAGGGUGAUCGGCCACACUGGAACUGAGACACGGUCCAGACUCCUACGGGAGGCAGCAGUAGGGAAUCUUCCGCAAUGGGCGAAAGCCUGACGCAGCAACGCCGCGUGAGUGAUGAAGGUCUUCGGAUCGUAAAGCUCUGUUAUUAGGGAAGAACAUAUGUGUAAGUAACUGUGGACAUCUUGACGGUACCUAAACAGAAAGCCACGGCUAACUACGUG